RNAcentral lists this transfer RNA (73 nucleotides) under Schistocerca americana (American grasshopper). RNAcentral's name for it is "tRNA-Tyr". It matches the Rfam family "tRNA". Rfam says of the family: Transfer RNA (tRNA) molecules are approximately 80 nucleotides in length. Their secondary structure includes four short double-helical elements and three loops (D, anti-codon, and T loops). Lineage: Eukaryota; Metazoa; Arthropoda; Insecta; Orthoptera; Acrididae. RNAcentral also lists the same sequence under 2 other names. The record is from RNAcentral.
UCUCUGGUAGCUCAGUUGGUAGAGCGGUGGACUGUAGAUCCAUAGGUCGCUGGUUCAAAUCCGGCCCAGAGGA